UACGUAGGUGGCAAGCGUUAUCCGGAAUUAUUGGGCGUAAAGCGCGCGUAGGCGGUUUCUUAAGUCUGAUGUGAAAGCCCACGGCUCAACCGUGGAGGGUCAUUGGAAACUGGGAAACUUGAGUACAGAAGAGGAAAGUGGAAUUCCAUGUGUAGCGGUGAAAUGCGCAGAGAUAUGGAGGAACACCAGUGGCGAAGGCGACUUUCUGGUCUAUAACUGACGCUGAUGUGCGAAAGCGUGGGGAUCAAACAGGAUUAGAUACCCCGGUA
Molecule: ribosomal RNA, 269 nt
Filed under: uncultured prokaryote
Description: partial 16S ribosomal RNA
Rfam family: Bacterial small subunit ribosomal RNA
Source: RNAcentral